Long non-coding RNA from Bos grunniens (domestic yak), 1846 nucleotides. Lineage: Eukaryota; Metazoa; Chordata; Mammalia; Artiodactyla; Bovidae. The record is from Ensembl.
AUGGAUCAGACAAAAGGCCAAUGGGCAGCAGGUGAGGUCGCUGCUGUGAUCUCCUUCUGGUUGACCAUCCCUCCUCAGGAGAGACUAGACCCGGCCCUCGUCUCCCAGCCCUGCGUCUGGUGUGUGUUUUCUCAACACCUCAGUGGAACAAGAAAGGACCUAGCCUGCCAGAACCAAGGACACUGGGCUACACUCUGAGAAGUUCCUGAAUCUCUCCUGGAUGCUAACCAUCAUGUGACCAGAGAAAUUGGUAACGUUGUUUUGCCUGUUGAGAUGUUUAAUGACACAGAUCCUUUCAGUUUCCUGAUGUGGGUGAAGUGUGGAGCCCAGCAAUGAUUUCUUCAAGAAAUGUACAUCCUGACUCCCACACAAGGGUGAGCCCCCUGUUCAACAGUGAGACCCCCUGCAUGUGGGUGACCUGUGCCUCCUGGGAAGCCAGCCUUAAACUAGUCUGAACCUGACCAAGUUCCGUCUACAUGGUAGAUUUAGACCUCUCCAAGUCUUGUCUACACUGAUGCUGUUUAGAUGAGACCGUGCACUUUCUGCAAUGAGAACAUUUAGAUCUGACCUUGUACUCUCUGCACUGGGACAUGGAGACCCGGGUGGAGGCCUGGCCUGGCCUCUGUCCUGGAAAACUCCACCCCUGCGUCUGAGCGUCAGUGCUCAGAUGUCAGGGGUCUGGAACUGAGGUGGGCUUCUCUGGGUAACUGUGCCCUUCUCUGAGUGGGGUUCCAUGGCUCUCCUGGGGUUGGGGGGGCGGUCAGUGCUGCGGUAGGGUUUGUAGUCUUUCUCCCUGCCAGGUUCACCUUCCCUGGGGUCCUUGAGACUCCUCAGGUGGGAUAAUUAGUAUUUAUUCCAAUUUUCCAGCACAUUCAGGUUUAAUAGAGAGGCAGGUUCACCUGGUGAAUUGGUUCCAGGGCAAAGAGGUCGGGCAAAAAGUCAAUGGACAGCAGGUGAGGUUGCUGCUGUGAUCUCCUUCCAGUCCACUCUCUCCUCCGAACAGAACAGAGCUGCCCCUCGUCUUUCAGCCCAGCUCUCCUGUUUUCUUGGAGAAGGCAAUGGCAACCCACUCCAGUACUCUUGCCUGGAAAAUCCCAUGGAUGGAGGAGCCUGGUAGGCUGCAGUCCAUGGGGUCGCUAAGAGUCGGACACGACUGAGUGACUUCACUUUCACUUUUCACCUUCAUGCAUUGGAGGAGGAAAUGGCAACCCACUCCAGUGUUCUUGCCUGGAGAAUCCCAGGGACGGCGGGGCCUAGUGGGCUGCCAUCUAUGGGGUUGCACAGAGUCGGACAUGACUGAAGCGACUUAGCAGCAGCAGCUCCUGUUUUCUCAGCAUCUCAGCGGGACAAGAAAGACAGAGCCCGCCAGAACCAAGGUAGUGUGUUCACCUCUAGCAUGAGCUUUCAAACCAGAAAAAAAUCACACAGAACCAAAGUGAAAACAGGAGGGGCCUGACUUCUCAGAGACAACUGAGGGGAGAGGAGAUGGACCCUACACUUCUUUCUAGGGUCCUAGAGGUCCCAGGGACCUGGCUUGGUUACACAUUGGGGGCCCACCGACCACAGCCAUGGUGUCCUGACCGAGGGGAUGUGUGACCCCAGGUUGGGGGGUCAGGAGACUGUGCGAGUCUCACCUCAUCUCCACGGGUCAGGAUCAUGUGUGUGGGGAGACCACACACACAAAGCUAAGAAAAAGGGGAGAAUGUGCGCUUCACUUGUGUUUAGGAAUUAAUGCUUUACGGUGUUCACUUUAUACAGGCCUGUGCCUGUUUUCUUCUUACGCUCUCGAGGUUCACCCUCCCUGGGGCUCCUGAAGACUUCUCAGGUGUCUCUACCUGGUAAUCAU